This 28-nucleotide small RNA is filed under the name Bombyx mori (domestic silkworm). RNAcentral describes it as "ovarian small RNA-10567". The record is from RNAcentral. Lineage: Eukaryota; Metazoa; Arthropoda; Insecta; Lepidoptera; Bombycidae.
AAGCAUCGACGCCACGACGCCAGGAAGC